ACUAAAGUAGCUCAGUCUGGAGAGCGUUAGACUGAACAUCUAAGUGUCCCUAGUUCUAUCCCGGGUUUCAUCU
Caranx melampygus (bluefin trevally) is the source of this 73-nucleotide non-coding RNA. NCBI's taxonomy places the organism in Eukaryota, Metazoa, Chordata, Actinopteri, Carangiformes, Carangidae. The record is from the annotation of a GenBank genome assembly.